CUAAAUGAGCUAUUGUGUUUGUCAUUGAAGACCUGAAAAGAUGGAUGAAGAGGAACCAAAGGCUCUUAACUAUAUUCCAGAGGUUAUAUUAAAGAAAAGGAAAAACAGUGAAGCAUGGGCGUUGAGAAAAAAAGACCAAUUGCAGAAAAAAGAUUUCCAGUUGAGGAAAUCCAAGGACUUUAUUAAAAAGCCUGAGGAUUUUAUUCUCGAAUAUCGUAACAGGGUAGCUUUUUUACCUUUAUUUUCCUCUUUUAAUUUUGUGAUAUUCAAUUUUAUGAAUUUUGCAAUAUUAUGUCCGACUAAUGUCAUUUUUAUCCAUCUGUGCUUACUUGUGUAGGAGGUCGACCUCAUUCGAAUGAAAAGGAGGGUCAAGAGGAGACGGGCAGAAAAAUCAACCCCAUGCAACAAGCCCAUAAUAGUCAUUCGUAUACAGGGGUAGUUUCUCUGUUUCACCCCUUGAUGCUUUGAUAUUUUGUCUCUGUGAACAGUCAUAACAUCUUUCUUUUGCUCCAUUCGUUUUUAGGAAACAAGACAUGCAUCCUACAACCAGAAAGCACUUAUUCAGUUUGGGAUUGAGAAGAAUAUUCAGUGCUGUCUUUGUCAAACCAACUGAUGGAGUGAUGGCCAAGCUGGCGAGAGUUGAACCAUAUGUUACCUAUGGGUAAGAGAUUGAUUAAUGUUCACAAUGACAUGAUUAUGAGUUUAUGUUAUGAUAUGUUUAGUGGAAGGGUAGAUUUUUCUCUGAACCAUUGUUGUCAAAUUACUAGUGUCUAUAGUUGUGUUAUCGUGAUAUAGCAUAGUGGAAUUUGAACUAAUCACUAUUAUUCUUUGAUGCACUAUUUAGUACGAAGUGUUAAACAAACCACUAUUUUCUGUGAUUGACAACACUCUUGUGGUGUAGCGGAAUUUAAACAAACCACUAUUUUCUGUGAUUGACAACACUAUUUAUAGGUUAAAGGAAACUUCAUUUAUUCUAAACAAUAUAGCUGACCCUCCUAUCCCCAAAAUUUGAAAUGAAACUUCUGACCAGAACAUCAACUUCAUAAAUUCUGUGUUUUGACAGGAUCAAGGAUAUUAUAGUUGAUGCUUGCAAUUAAUUUAAGAAUGAAAAAUGGUAAACCUUAUGUGUACCAAUCAGAGUAUUCCGCGAAAUGUCACACAAAUGAUGCAUUAGCAACUAUGUAAAGUUAGUACACAUGGUGAAUAGCACCACUCUCUUAGAAAAAACAUGUUUUUGCUAUUUUCUCAUCUUUACUUUCCUGUAUAUAUAUUGAAUUAUUCCCAAAUUUCAGUUUCUGAGGAUUAUUCCUAAUUUUGUCGAAAUUUGCUUCUUUUGAAGAUAUCCAAAUCUUAAAAACAUAAAGGAGCUAAUUUACAAGAAGGGACAUGCAAAAAUAGAUAGGCGAAAAGUUCCUUUGACAGAUAAUAACCUUAUUGAGCAGGUAAUACACAAUGUUCCUAGAUUACUAGUUUUCUUUUGACCCUACUACUUAAUUGUUUUUAUAAUUCUUCCACUUUUUGCCUUGCAGGAAUUAGGAAAGUUUGGUAUCGUUUGCAUAGAAGACAUGGUUCAUCAAAUUGAAAAUGUUGGUCCACACUUUAAGGAAGUUGUCAGAUUUAUGUGGCCCUUUGAACUGAACAAGCCAGCUGAUGGAUUGAAAGGAUUGAAAAAUCGAUUCAAGGUUGGUGGAGAUUCAGGGGACCGUGAGGAUCUCAUCAACGAGCUCAUCAAUAAAAUGAAUUAAUAUAGGUCAAAGUUUUGUGGUUUGUCCAGAACGUCAACGAGCUCAUCAACAAAAUACUAUCAAAGUUUUGAUGGUUUGUAUUGUCCCUCACAUUAAUUUUGAUGGUUUGUCACUAAAAAGCAUACUACCUUUUAUUGUUAUGUAGUAUUGCUGCGCCUUCAUUUAUUUCCUUUAGCCCUUUUUGUUAUCCUUUAUUUAUGAGUUCGUCGACAACAAUGAUAGGAGGGAAGCAAGGGUUUGGUUGAAUGUAUUCGAUGUUACUUGAAACCAUACUCUAUUUGCUGCCUUUUCAAUAUUAAAAACUGUGUUUUGGGUACUGAAAUGAAGUUUCCAUUAUAUAUGUUGACAUAACUGAGCAAAGUGAUAUUAUAUGAAAUAGUAAUAUUUUAAGAAAAGUGUUGCGAUUCAUUCUCGUUCUUUGUGAAACACACCGGUCGGCUGUGAGGCACUUGACAUGCCGCUCUCUCAAUCUCGUACAGGUUCGAACGCAAAACACACACCACAACAGUGCUGGAUUUUCUGCAAGCUAUUCCAGCACCCGACUCAUGAAGUCUGUUACGAUGAUUCAAUUUCCUCAUGAUUGUCUUUGAUUUAACCAAGUAACACCCAUUCCAGUGCUCAUGUUAUUUAUUUAUUUGUUUACUUUUUUUUUAAUAAAAAUAAAAUCUUAUAAUUUAUUAAAGUGAUUGAUUUAGUUUUAUGAAUCUUUAGAAAAGGGGAAUUGAAUUGCAGUGAUCUCUCUCUCAACAAUUAAUUAACACUUGAAAAUUGUCUAUAAAAAAUAAACACCACAAAAGAAUAAUGAUUUAUUGAAAAUGAUGAGGAAAUACAAACUUGUGGGACAAUAUAAUAAACUGAAGUAACAACUAGUACGGGUUACUAUUCAAUGGAAAAAUAUAAAUUAUUAAAAGUUUUUCAUUCUAUUGUACAAAAUUAGAUUAUUAUUAUCUGUGAUUAAGGUUAACGUCGAUUAGUUGAGAUAUUAUUAUUUUUUAAAAUUUAAUAUUAGUUUUUUAUUCUUAUUUUUAAUUAAUGUAUUUUGUGUUAAGUAAUAUAAUAACUAAAAUUUCAACUUUUUAAAGUAAAUAAGAAAGUGUAUCAGAGUUUAAACUAAAAACAAAUGUAACUAUAAAAAAAGGCAUGGUUAUUAAUAUGAGUGUAAAUAUAAGUCUCAGUAAAAAUUAUAAAAAAAUAGGUAUCUAGUAUUCAAUAUGUGUAGAUACAUAGGUUCCCAUAGAAAAGAAAAGAAAAAAAAGGUCAUCCGCCCGUAUUAAUAAAUAUGUAUUAACCCCCCCCCCNNNNNNNNNCCCCUAGAAAUAUAACUCCGUAAAAAUUACAAAAAAAUAAACCCCGUACAUGAGUAUAAAUAAAGGUCCCGUACAAAUUUUAAAAAAAGUCGUCCUAGUAUUAGUAUAUAUAUAUAUAGAAAUAUAGCUCCCCGUAUUACAUAGAUGUUCAUUUUGAUAUUUUUUUUCUUCAAAUUACUUGUGAAAUUUAUUUCAUAUUUAUUAUAUGUAGAUAUUAAAAAUAAUAUAAAUUUAUGGAUUUUAAAGGGAUAGUGGAGAGUGAUCUCCUACUCCCAUUCCUAACGAUGUGAUAUUUUUUCUCCCAGUCUCGUCGAAAUUAUAAAAAAAAUUGGGAUUUAUAUUGAGAUAUGAAUAUAAAUAUAGGUCUCAUGUAAAUAAAAAAAAAUCAACAUUUAACCUAUAUUAUGGAUCAAAUAUAUUGGUUAUGAAACGAAUCUAAAACAUGAAAGUUUGCAUGUAUACGAAAAGAAAGUGAGGUAUAGUCCUCGUGAGCUUAACUCAGUUGAUAGGGAUAUCGCACUAUAUGUGUAGGAGUUCAGGUUCGAUCCCGGGACACUCUACUUAUUCACCUUUAAGGUGAAUUUUCUAAAUACUAGGUUAAAAUGAGUAUAUUAUACUAAGAAAAUGUCAAAUUGCAUCCCUAACACUUUUCCCAUUUUACACUUCCGUUACUUAAGUCGCGGACAUUGUAAAAUGAGUAAUUUUUGAAUAAUUUUCCCCUUAUUGUCCGUUACCUAAGUCGCGGACCCAGACCCAUGAUGAGAAACAUAAACCUAAUUUUUUGUUGUUUAUUUCCCUUUAUUUAAUUUAAAGUAGUCGUUGUUGUAUUCAUUCAUCUUUCUUCUUUCUCUAAGUUCAUUGUUUUGUUUCUUCCACUCUUUUUCUUCUUCUGCGAAACUGAGAUUCCAUCAUCUCAAAUCAUCAUUUCAUCGAAGGUCAGACAACCCUAUUCUCAAAUUCAAUUUAUAUGUGAAAUUCCAAUUCUAUUAUUGCCCCUAUGUCAUUUCAAUUUUUAUUCAAAUUCAUUCUCACUGUUAUGCCUUGUUUGUGGAACAACACAUGUUAUUGCUCAUUAGUUCCUUCUAUCUAAUCUGUCUUAUUUGUUGGUACAUCGCUAUAACUAUAACUAUAAGAAAUCCAUAUCUAUAUAUCUAUAAGAAAUCAUGGUGCCAUUGUACCAAAAAAAAAAAAUCAUGGUGCCAUAAAAAUACCUAAAAUACUCGUAUCUAAAAAAUUGACACCAUAUCAAAAAACCUAAAAUGUCCCUAUCUAAAAAAUCAGAAAUCUAUAUAUUUAUAAGAAACCAUGGUGCCAUAAAAAAAACCUAAAAUACUACCCAUAUCUAAAAAAUUGAUACCACAUCAAAAAACCUAAAAUGCCCUUAGCUAAAAAGUCAGAAAUUAAAGUCUCUCCUAAAUUUGGACGAAGAUAAAUUUGCAAGUUUUGAUUAUGUUUAGGGUUUGCUCCACUAAUAAAAACACACAAUAAAAUCACAGUUUUGAAUUUCAGUCGUCAAUUUUAAUUAAAAACUGUCUUUUCAAUAACAAUGAUCUCAUCUCAGCCGUCAAUUUCAUAUCAGACAAUUUUUAAAACUGUGUUUUCAAUAACAAUUAUCUCAGCCGUUAAUUUAUGAAUUAUGAUCACACUGCAGAUAUCAAAUUACAGCGUGUUACUGAGUGGCAGGAAAUCUUUUUCCUAAAACACGUGCUGUUGAACACUAGCUGCCUACUUCUGAGUUGAGUUUCAUUUCAUCUCCAAAAACGAAGCCGUACAAAACACACAACAAAGUACGAACACAUUAUUGUCAGGUUACAUUCUGAGCGAAAACAUCGUCAAUAACAAUGGAAGCGCCGCCAUUGACUCCUUCAUAUUCCUCUACUUCUCUUCUCAUUCGUCACAAAAAUCCAUCCUCUGUCACUACAUUUUCUCGCUCCCCCAAUUUCAAAAACCGAACUAAAUUCUCAAUUCGUGCUUCAUCUUCUGCUGAUUCUGGUUUGUUUUCUAAUUCUAGCAAUACCCUUUUGAAAAAAUUGGUUUUUUCUUCUGGGGAAUUUGGUUUUAUUUAAACCCUCUCAUUUAUCUGUUGUGUUUUUUUUAUUUGUUUGUUUGUAGUUGUGACUUUACUUGAUUAUGGUGCUGGCAAUGUUCGGAGUGUUAGGAAUGCUAUCAGAUUCCUCGGGUUUGAAAUCAAAGAUGUAAACUUUUUAAUCCAUUUUUCUUAGUGUGCGGUGAAAAAAAUUGAUUUUUACAUGUUUGGUUGCUCUCCGUUAAAAUUAAUUUUGCCUCCAGAAUUAAUUCUAACUUAGGCUAGAAUUUGUAGCUUUUGAGUUUAAACAUGAUUUUUACAUUGAAAUUUAUUGUUCAACUCACUUUUACUAAAAUUAUCCAAACAUAAAUCAGUUUACAUUCAAUUUUAUGCUACGUUUGGAGUCAAAUGCUAAGCUACAUAUCCUAAGAAUGAAUUAUAGAGGCAAAAUCAAUUUCAAUCAACAUCACCAAACACGUCAUAGUCAAUUUUAUGUGUGUGGAAACAAAUUGGCUUUCCGUAGAUGAAAGAUUAUGCAAGUGUUGCUUUUUUUAUGAUGUGUUUUUGAAUUUGAAACAACCGUGUUAUUGAUAGGUUCAAACCCCAGAAGAUAUUUUGAAUGCAAGCCGUUUAGUCUUUCCGGGUGUUGGAGCAUUUGCACCUGCUAUGGAGGUGUUAAGUAAAACUGGGUAAUUUUUAUUUUGGAUUUUUUUCCUCCUCAAUUCAUUUAUUAUUGAUUUAAUAAUUUGAAGCAAUACUAUGCUUAUGGGGAUAGAGUAGUAGGCUUCAUAGUUUUAAACAGUGGUCGCAGUAAUGGUUGCAGUCUUGCUGCAAUCGUUGAUAUGGUGGAGAAUCACAGUCAAAUACUGCCUAUGCUGCCUUAAUCACAAUUACAUUGCGGUUUUAGAAACAUCAAAAGCCAUUAUAUUGUAGCCUAGAUUGCAACGAAGGACCUUUAUUUAAAACCCUAAUAGUAGGCUUGUUAAGGAAAACAAAGGAUAGGACAGGGUAUUCAUAUUAAAUUACUAUGUACAUUAAGAAUGUGUUAAACCAAGACUCCAAUUAUAUGUAUUGGAAUUUUCAAUUACUGUACUAUUUUCUAAGCAAGAUGGGGUUUUGAAAUUUUGGAGAUAGCCAAGUUUGAAAGGGUUGGAGGCUGUUGAAUAAUGUAUACAUCUAAUGUGCUGUUCAAAUAGCAAUAUGUCUCAUUGUCUAUGUACACUUUAAUUGUGCUGAAUUUACUCUGGCAUUGUNNNNNNNNNNNNNCGACGGUUUUUUUUUUUUUUCUUAAAGAAAUUUAUAGUUUUGAACUUCGAGAAUUUAUACUCUAAAUGUUAGGCUUUUUUCUUGAGUUAAAUGUUUAAAUUUGUCAUUCAUUUUAGUAUCAAUCUGCAAGCACUGUCAUAAUUUUGCAGGAUGGGUGAGGCACUAUGUUCAUAUAUUGAAAAGGAUCGCCCAUUUUUAGGCAUUUGUCUUGGACUUCAAUUGCUUUUUGAAUCCAGUGAGGAGAACGGACCAAGUCAGUUAUAAAUCCUCUAUUAUUAUUACUACUAUUUUUUAUAUAUUUGGUAAUCCUUUAAUUCCGUUCUGAACAUUUUAGUAUUAUGUCAUAAAUGGUUGCCAAGAUUUUCAUGCUUAAUGAAGUGCUAUAAGCUAACAAGAGCAACAGUUUUUUUACUCAUAUAUGAUCAUUGAGAUGAAUGAGAUGUAUGAAAUGAAUGAAUUGAGUGGAUGUAUGCGGAAAUAUAAGGUUAUCAACACAAUUUAUUUUUUGGAGUUGCAUCAUCAAUUGAUGAGAAGAUUAUGGAAACUCGGUUAAGAUGAUUUGAUCAUGUGAUAUAAAAAUCCAUAGAGGGAAAAUCAAAUGGAGACUUGCUUAAGAUGAUUUAUCUUUUUUAGCGUGAGAAAAACGGAUCUAAUACAAGAUAUUUUGAUUGAAAUGAGUAGAGGAAGACCAAAGAAGACUUUAGAAAAAUUAGUAAAAAAGGCCAUGUUCUGAUAUUAAUUUUUUUAAAAGUUACCUUUUUAUUCACACUUAAUUGAAGUAUUGAAUGGACAAAUAUGCUUUUGAAUCAGUAAAAGGUCUUGGCUUAAUACCUGGAACCGUUGGGCGAUUUGAUUCAUCAAAUGGUUUUAGGGUGCCACAUAUUGGAUGGAACGCUUUACAAAUCGCAAAGGAGUCAGAAAUUUUGGAUGACGUUGGAAACCGCCAUGUCUAUUUUGUGCACUCUUACCGUGCCAUGCCUGUAUGUUUCCACUUUUCUCUAAAAACAUCCGUGUUACUUUGUCUGUCACAUUCAUAUUCUAUGUUUUUAUCACUUGUGAAAUUGUUAAAGUAAUCUGAUUUGUUUCAUUUCCCAGUCAGAUGAUAACAAAGAGUGGAUAUCCUCCACCUGUGACUAUGGUGAUAAAUUUAUAGCAUCAAUUAGAAGAGGAAAUGUGCAUGCAGUUCAAUUCCAUCCAGAGAAGAGUGGAGGCAAGUUUUACCUUCGUUACCGAUCUCUUGAGUGUUUUGGUAUUUUUCUAUUUUUUCAUGUUAAGAUAUACCCAGUGUUGUCAAAUAUCGGCCAUGGCGGAUUUUUUGAUAACCUCCAUGGCCAGUUUUGGUAGGAUGGCUGCGUCAUGGUGUUUUAUGGCAGAUCAAAUUGGCAUUUUUUUGCGUUCUUCCAUCUGCAAUCCAUAACACUGGAUAUACCUAACCCUAAAUCAUGGAGAUCACAAUCUUCAUUGAAAUUUGUACUCUAUUAGUAAUCAGUGUUGUUUAAUAGCAGAAACCACUAUGAAAACCGCAGUGCAAUCCUAGUUUUUCGCCGCUAGUUUCUGCUAGCUCGUGUAGCAGCAAUAGAGGAAAACAGAAUUUUAGGGUAUUUUAUAAUAAUAAAACUGAAGAAUCUGAUUGUGUGCCAAGACCUACUUUUAAAACAAAUAAACUGAAGAGUCAAUAAUUGUGUGCAAAUUCUACAUUAUUUUUUUUUCCCAGAGGAAUACAAUAGUUCUUUAAGACUUAUUUAUUUAUAUAUGAGGCCAAAAAAAACUUUUAUCCUCUUCUAGGCUGGUUUAUUAUUUUUCUGAUUUGUGAAAUGAAAUUUUGCAGAUGUUGGUCUCUCAAUUUUGAGAAGAUUCUUGUAUCCAAAAUCAAAUGUGGCAAAGGUGGCCUUAAUGCCUUUUUAUAAAUAUCUUAUACUAUAUCACUACUAUUAUGAUCAUUUUGACUUAUGGUAACUAACCAUUUGUGAUAUUCACUUGAAGACAGAAGACCGGUGAAGGCAAAGCUUCAAAACUUGCAAAAAGGGUAAUAGUUAUGGAAACCCCUUUCUAGUUUAAUCUAGUUUAUAUGUAUACUCGGUCUCAUCAAUGUUUUCAUUAUUUUAUUUGCUAACAACGCAUUCUCUAUGAAGGUGAUUGCAUGUCUUGAUGUGAGAGCAAAUGAUAACGGGGACCUUGUUGUAACCAAAGGAGACCAGUAUGAUGUAAGAGAAAAUACAAAAGAGAAUGAGGUAACAUAGACAACACUCAUAUUUCAAUAAUAUUUAAGAUUUUGGGGUUUUUCUGAUAGGGCAUAUGCCAAAAUAUAGACGAAAACUACUCUUUGGUGCAGAUAUGCCAAAAUUGUAUGAUUAUCAUCUUAUGAAACUGUUUUAAUUGUCAGGUUAGGAAUCUUGGCAAGCCAGUUGAGCUUGCUGAACAGUACUAUAAAGAUGGAGCUGAUGAGGUAACACCUUUGACAAUUAGGUUGUUUUCACAUAUAUUAUGAAGCUUGUUCUUUACAACUAACGUUCAACCUUGGAUGCAGGUCAGCUUUCUAAACAUUACUGGUUUUCGCGACUUCCCUCUUGGCGAUUUACCGAUGUUGCAGGUUUGUGAGAUGUGCCAACAUACUAGUUUUAAUUAGUUGGUGCUGGUUUUAUUUUAUCCAAUACAUCUGUCGGUGUUUCAUGCUCACUAUGGUCCUUGAUAGGUAUUGCGAUAUACGUCAGAAAAUGUUUUUGUUCCCUUAACAGUUGGUGGUGGAAUUAGAGAUUUUACAGAUUCACAAGGAAGGUAUUAUUAUUACUAACUUUUAUGCUGAAUAGUGAAUUGUUGAUUACGCUGUUGUCUUUUUUGCUACAUUCAUUUUAAUUAAAUUUGUCGACUUUUAAUUUUCUAUCUAAGUGUUCUUGCUCGGAAGAUUUAUAAUUGUUUCAUCCAAAUACCUAUAUUCUAGGCACUAUUCUAGUUUGGAAGUAGCCGCAGAAUAUUUUAGGUCUGGUGCUGACAAGAUAUCCAUUGGAAGUGAUGCGGUUUAUGCUGCUGAAGAAUAUUUACGAACUGGAGUAUGGAAUUCAACCUAUUGCUUGUUUCUAUUGAUAUCCUCUAAAAAAUUGUGUUAUUUCUGAUGUUGCAAUGGCUGUCACAUUUAGGUAAAGACAGGGAAGACCAGUUUAGAGCAGAUAUCAAGAGUUUACGGGAAUCAGGUAAAGCUAAGAGCCCAUAGUGACGUCUACUUGUGUAUGUAUAAGUACUUGAUGAGACUCCCUUAACAUGCAUGUACCGGAAACCUCCCCUCCCCCUUUUCACUACAUGACAUUGAAUUAUGACCUGUUCUUUCAAAUUAAUGUAUAUAUCAGUAUAUGUUGCUGCAUAUUUUAUAACAAUUAUUCUGUGCGUUUUUUUUUUGGUGUUAUACUUGAUAUAUGGAUUCAGUUGACUAUAUACCAAUUGAUUUUCAAUUUGCAGGCAGUGGUUGUUAGUAUUGAUCCCCGUAGAGUUUACAUAAACAAUCCAAAUGACGUGCAAUUCCAGACCAUAAAGGUUUCUAGUCCAGGUGCAGCUUUUUCUUUCUUCCUGAUUUUAUAUUUUUCUGCAAGAGUUGUCCAAAUUGAUUGAAUCAUACCAUAAUGAUUAAUGAGAUACAUAGGUCAAUUGCAAGUAGGAUUGUAGGAAGAUCUGGCCUCUUUAGGUUUGGUCCUGAAGAAUUUAUGCCUAGUACUUGUUGAAGUAGGAUUGUCAUAUGGAUGUAUUCUUUUCUCUUCUACUGUUAUUUCUCCCCAUUUACCUUUUGAUAGCACUUUAAGAUGAAAAACCGAGAAGAUGAUGUUUCAUGCAAACUAAUAUUCAUAACCGUUUUAUGUCGGUUUCAGGUCCAAAUGGAGAAGAAUAUGCCUGGUAUCAGUGUACAGUAAGUUCAUUAUCUCUCUACACUAUAUUUUUUAACAUGUUCAUUGAGCUAGAACUCUUAAUCUUGUUUUUCGUUCAUUUAAACACUGCACUAUUAAAACUAGACAUUGCUAGCAAGACAACGGAUAAUUGAUUCUUCCUGUCAUGCAAAAUUUGACCAGUUACAAUUAUAUAUAGUUUCUAGAGAGUAAAUAAAUUAAGGACGACUUGAUAUGAUGUAAAAAACAUUGAGGUUUAUCAUUGUUAAGUAACGGUUUUACAAGAAUAAAAUAUAUAAAACAUGGUAUAAGAAAUGCUAUUAAAUGGUAGUCAUCUAAUAUGAAAAGAAAUAUGAAAGUAACAUCAAUGAAAGAAUAUGGUAAAGUGGUUUUGACGUGGUAGAACUCAGAGAGAUUGUAAUUCACGCAUUUCUUAGAAUUUUGUGAAAGGCAAAGAAUAAAAAUAAAUUCAUUUGACUCUACCUUCCUGAUAUUCUUGUCUCACAAUACUUCUUUUGUCUAAUGUUAAGGUUAAUGGUGGGCGUGAAGGCCGGCCUAUCGGUGCUUAUGAACUAGCAAAAGCUGUUGAAGAACUUGGUGCUGGAGAAAUACUAUUAAACUGCAUCGAUUGUGAUGGUCACUCUCGCUGUCUAUCUUUAUAUUUAAUAAUAUGCUGCUUUUAUUCUUUAUAAUUUUUUAAUCUCUAUUGUUAUCAAUAUUUCAGGUCAAGGAAAAGGAUUUGAUGUAGAUUUGAUCAAGUUAAUAUCAGAUGCUGUAAGUAUCCCUGUGAUUGCUAGUAGUGGCGCUGGUGUUCCUGACCACUUUUCCGAUGUGUUUACUAAAACCAAUGCAUCUGCCGCACUUGCCGCGGGCAUUUUUCACAGGAAGGAGGUAUAACUUUCGUUUUAUUAAUUUCUUAAUUCCAAGGGAAAUUGUUGUUGUGAUAUUUCAGUUCAAUUAUCAUAUUGCUCUUGAUAAUUUUUUUCGUAAAUUGCAGGUACCUAUUCAGUCUGUGAAAGAACAUUUGUUGAAGGAAGGCAUAGAAGUCAGAAUCUGAUCCUUACAUUUUAGUGAAGUUUUCCAGAAAUACACUAUGUUAUAGCAAAGCAUGUUGUAUUUUAUAGCGCAUUUAAAAUCUUAAUUUUGUCAGAAUGUGACAUUUUACCUCUACGAUCUCUCAAAACCAUACCGUGUUUACUUCUAUAUUUGACCAUUUUUUUUUACAAACCCUAUAGUACAGGUUUUGAUGUUUUUCAUGUAUGUCUGAUGUUGGUUCUAUAUGAUUAUGAUGAGACACGGUUUAGGAUACUAUUCUUGAAAGUCUCAGUUUAAAGAGCAUUAUAAUGUUCAAUAUGAUCCUGACAAAGGAUCAUUUUAUGCGUUGACGGGUUAUGUAUGUGGUAUUCCGUUGGACUCAAAUGAGUGACAAACUCUCCUAAGAGGUUUAACAUUGUUGCACUGUAUGCCCAAGCUAAAGAUCGAAUCCAUAACUUCGAAUGCAUUUUCUCUAAUAAGAUUAGUUUUCUCAAUAAGACUGUAAUGAAGAGCUCUUUGAAUUUAUUUUGUUUACAAUUACAUCUUGGAUGGAGGUGGUAUUUGAGUAAGUAUCCUUUAUUUCUUUUUUUUUUAGCCUAAAAAGUGUGCUAGUUUUUUUUUUUGACUAGCAAAAUGGACAAAAUAUUUAAAAUUGAAACCAUUUAUUACUUCAACCGUCUCAUUUUGAUGUGUGUGUAUAUAUUGUAUAAAUAUAAUCACUUCAAUAUAAUAUUAAUUAUUUUUUAUAAUUAUACUUUCUGAUCCUAGUAUUUCAUUUUUUCAUACAUGAUAAUAAUGGACACGCCAAUAUUUGAUAAGAUUAAUUUCUAGUUUUAGUUGUGUGGCAUAGUUUACUUUGUAUAUGAUUUACACCGAUUUUGGAGUUGCUUGCACAUAUUGUGCUAGUUUGUUCAUUUUCAAUCAUUAUUUGCUUUGCACAUCUUGUCAAUAGAUUCUUUUCAACAAGUAAUUCUACUAUUUGAAAUGUAUGAGACAUUAAAUGCGGGUAGUAUAUCUUUUGGUCGAAAUUUGAACUUUAGUUCGUCAUAUUGUAAAAAUCUUUCAUUCUUUCACUUUCUUUCUAUCACAUAAUUCCUCUCUUAUGUUGAAGAGGAAAGGAUUGCUUAUGGGGUUUGCAUGAAGUGAUUCUUUUUAAACGUGGUUUGGGGAUUGUGUCCUAAUAACAAAGGAAGAGCCUUCAUUUCAUUUGCAUGCUAUGCAUUGCCUUUGAGGGUUUACUUACCCCACGUUAACCAUUGACAAGGUAGGAAUGAAUAACGGGGCACUAAUUACACAAAGAGUUUGGGUUCUCUCCAUUUAUUAUCCAUUUGGAGAGAGAUAGACACAUUAAGAAUUAGUGGGACCCGUUAAAAGUGGGUCCCACUAAUUUGAGAACCCCACUAAUUUUUUCUUGUGUCUAUCUCUCUCUAAAUGGAGAAUAAAUGGAGAGAUAAUAAAUGGAGGGAACCUAAACUCUUACGCAAGGUAGUAACCAACAUAGUGUGGCACAAGUGAUAGAUAUUUUGGUCUCUUAACCAUUGGNNNNNNNNNNNNNNNNNNNNNNNNNNNNNNNNNNNNNNNNNNNNNNNNNNNNNNNNNNNNNNNNNNNNNNNNNNNNNNNNNNNNNNNNNNNNNNNNNNNNNNNNNNNNNNNNNNNNNNNNNNNNNNNNNNNNNNNNNNNNNNNNNNNNNNNNNNNNNNNNNNNNNNNNNNNNNNNNNNNNNNUUUAUUUGGAUAUUUUAAAAUGAUAGGAACAAAAUAAGCAAAGAAAAAGCACAAUAGAAGAAGAAUCAAAGAAAGUUCAACAGAAAAUUGUUGGCAAUGUACCUUGUAUAAAUUCUUCUUUCUAGGCAAAGUUUACUUUCUAUUGCAAGUAUAAACUUGCACGACUAUCCUUAAAAAUCUAUACACAAGAAAAGCAACCGGCAAAUAGUAACAGAAGACUUACUCAUAUACAUAUUUCCAAAAGAACAACUAUAUUCAUAGCAAUUUAUAUGCGGUAAAAUACAAUAAUCUUGAAACUGAGUCGAUUUCAGUUGUCGUCUCCACAACAGCAUAUAUGUGAACAACAUUCAAGGCAGGCGAGGCAUCCCAAACCAAUGCAUAGCUGGUUCAAUACAGUUAAGCAUUGGUUGUUCAUCCUGGAAAAGCAUUGGACGCAGCACAUACAGCAACAGUAACCACACACGGUGUCAACGCAAUUUGAGGCUGCUUUAAAGAUUUCAGCCAUUUCAGGCUUCGUUUCAUAUCCUGGAGGAGUAUUUUCAGCUGUUGCUUUCAAGUCGCCAAAGCCAAUACCUACGUGUGGGAGUAGAAUCGUCCUCUGUCCUUGGACAUUUGCAUCGUGCUUAGAAAGUUUCUUUUUUAACACCUGAAUCAAAAUUAUUGAAAAUGUACUGUUUAGAAAAUCUUUUACAACAUUUUAAUCUAUGCUUUAUAACAAUAUAGGCAAACCAUAAAUAGAUUAUGUGCUUGAAGUUAAAACAAACAGGCUGACUAGGUGUUUUUAGAUAUUUCAAUGUUCUUUUGUGACAAUUCAGAUAUUUCAAUGUCAUAUCUCUAAGAAUAAAUGACAGUACACAUUUUCAAAAGAAAAAUUGUAGACACAAUAUCAUAAUGAAAGCAUUGUUUAAUAUCUUGUUUAUUUAUUAGAGAAAAUCAUCAAACUUCUGAUACUUACUUCUUUGGAUCCAGAUGAUUCCUUGAUUUUCUUUAGAUGAUCAGUCUCAAGCAUAAUCAUACAGGUAUACUCAGAUGUAAAGCCAGUCUGCAAGCUCAGUUUUGCGACCUGCCAAUUAAAUGAUGUGGCAUAAGAAAAUUUAUCGAAUAAAGAGACAACAUAAUCUAUAUUAUGUAAAUACUUAGGGGUGAUACUGAUAGCAUAGGAAAUUUUACCAACCUUUUGUUCUAAUUGUUUAUUUUCUGAAAGCCAUGCCUGAGCAGUAAGAAGUUGUAUUUGAUCUCUUGCCGAAACCUGUGGAAGAGAAAAUAGAGCAACACAAUGAGUAUUAAUAAUAAAGGAAGUGAAACAGAAAGGUAAAAAUUGUGGAAAUUUAUUCAUAAAGCAGCAUCUAGUUAAAGAUGAACGUGUCAAAUAACCGAUUAUCCCAAAAGCUUAAGCUGUUAGGAAUAGAGUCAUAUCAAUGGUUUUAUAUUAUUUAUAACACGCCCCCUCACGCAAGAGCCCACUUGGGCUUGAAGCGUGGAUAAUGCAUAGGCUCACCUACCAUAUGCUUAAAUUCCACUUUUUAAUUAGAAAGUGAGGGGAGUGGGGAUCGAACUCUAGACCACUUAGUCAUAGAGGCUCUGAUACCAUGUCAAAUAACCGAUUAUCCCAAAAGCUUAAGCUGUUAGGAUAGAGUCAUAUAAAUGAUUUUAUAUUAUUUCUAACAGAACGGACCACGACUGAGAAUAUAAGAUGAAGCAAACAUGUAUUUAUGAAUCACAGACAAAGAGAAGGAGUAUACCAAUAUAAAGGAUGGCCAACAAUCCAAUGUUCUUUGUAUACCAAUAUAAAGGCUUAAGAUAUAUGAAGGAAGAAAAGGAAUGUAUGUAAUUUGUCUAGAUCCUAAUUUAUUAGGUUUUAUAGUACUGUUAAAACAUGACCUAGCAAUUAACAUGUGCUUCAAGGAAAAACAUUCUUUGAUGCAGUUCACAUAAACAUGAAAUUGUUUGCUUAUGCAGCACCCACAAACAAAAUAUAGAACCUCCUCUACAGAAAUAAUAGAUAUAAUUUUGAAACAAGAAAGUUGAGUAUGCUAGUAGUAGAAGAUUUACCCUUUGUACAGGUAUGCCCUUAUCCUUUUGUAUCUUCAAAUCUAUCUCAAAAUUACUGAAAUCAGCCAUGAUGCCUUUGACUUUGAGAGUUUCAGGAAAAUUUCCCUUGUAUCUGCCGGAUAAAACCAAUGGACCCUCUGACGAAAGAUCCGGGAUAUGGGAAGGGAAUACCUAUCAUAAAACAUUACAGAUAAUGCCGUAAGAAAGAGCCACAAGCUUAGAGAAAACUGGUAAAAUUGAAACAUAUACAAGAGGAUUGUAACAGAAAGUAAAUAGUAAUAAUUUUCAGAUCAUGUGGAUUCCAUCAUGGCAGAAUAUAUAUAUGUUUUCAUUUUCAAACAACACUCUAAAGACUUUUUCAAAAAAACAACACUCUAAAGAAGAUAUAAACAGAAAUGAAUUAUCAAAGCUGUAGUUAUAUACUACAAUCCCCAAAGGUGUAAAUGAACUUCAGUAUUCCGUACUCACAUGGAAAGGCGGAGAACAAUAAAAAUGAACUUGUUUUUGAGUAGUACAAAGCAUAUUUUUGGUAAGGACCAUGGGAAAGAAUGAAAAUCAGGAAGCCAGAAAUGUUAUUUUUUUUACCUCAACAAGAUCGAUUUCAUCCAACAUGUCCAUUUUGAUAUUUGCAAGAAUGAGCGAUGAAGCUUUUUCAAACAAUGACAGCAUUCGAGGCUCAAUCAAAUCUGGCAAUCCAAAAAAAGAGGCACAACAAUAAGAUUACUAGUAAAUGUAGAAUGCAUACAAAGUUUAGAUAGGGCCAUUGAAGAAAUUAAAGUGAGAGUUUCAAUUGCAAGUGACAAACCAGCAAAAUUACUUCUGUUGCAAAGAUGAGAGAGAGAGAGAGAGAUUCUUAGAAUUAUGGAUGUAAAAUUAUUGUUUGGAUAAACAAAUAAAUUAAGUGCUUAUGGCGUAAGAGCUUAUGCUGCAUAAGCUAUCUGUGUUUGAAUGUGUGUCUAAUGAAAAGUUCUUACACAAAAAGUGUUUGAAUGUAAUUACAAAAACCCUUAUAAAAUGUGAUAUUUUGCUUUCAUGUCAGUUUAUCAUCAUAUUGAAAUACAUAAGCUAAUUCAUAAGCUUGUUAGGGGAGCUUAUGAAAAACUGCUUAUAAAUGGUCAUAAGCUCUUGUGAUUUUCUCUCCCAUACAGUUUCACAGGCACUUAUGCCAUUACAUAAGUCUAAAUAAACAAAUAAGCCACUCGACACGGCCCCUAUGUAUACUACAUCGUGUCUGAUCCUUGAAUAAAACUUAAAAAGUUCAUUGUAGUAGAGUCAAAUGUCAAUAAUUAGAUGAUCCAAAUAGAAUUAUGGAACCGACCCCUCGUGUAAUCUAAUUGUUGUUAGACACAUUGAUAUGGUUUGAUAACAGAAAUUUCUCUAAACCUAAAAGUGUUAACUUGCAACAAAAAAAUGAAAUAAGCAAGUACAGUGCCAUGUACUUCUUUAAAAUUUAAUUCAAAACUUACCCACAUCCAGUGCAGCAUCAUAUUGGCCCCUACCAAUCAUAGCAAGCAUCCGCAAGAAAUAAUGAUUGCAGAAUGAACCUGAGGUUGAAUGAGGUGUAACAUUUAAAAUAAGCAAAUUAUAAUAUGGUGAAUUUUUACAAUUACUUAACACAAAUUGGAAGAAUUAAGAGCAAGACCUUGAACAGGGUUUAUCAGAUAAAGAAAUUUUUUUGUUCAAAGUACUAGAAGUCAUACCUAUACCAAAAGUGUAUAUUCGAGGGCAUAUUGACUCUCCAUUGAUCAUAUGAUUUUUUACCAUAUCACAAAUUUGUCUCUCGUCUUCAACAGUUCCAUCUGUAACUAGGAAAAUUAUCGGAACUGAACUUCGAGCACCUGAUAGCAUUUCUAUUGCCUGAACAGAAAAGACAACAAAUACAUAAAUACAUUCUACCCAAUAACAAAGGGCACAAAAUAACUAUUACGGUGAUCUAGUCUGAGAACACAUAAACGAAGAAGAAUCUGAGGAAUGAGUUCUCCAAAGCCUCAAUGCAGAAAGUUGAGCAUAGAUUGAUUUGUAUGCUUAGUACAUAACAUGUUGGUUCAGUAUUAACCACUGCUCAAUAAUCUUAUAAUCUUUCUGUUUAUGAAAAGCUGCAUAUAUUUUGUUGGUAUACCGUAUUUAACGGAUGUGAAAUAUUUGUACCGCCUCCAGCAACAAAGUUCGUGUUGAUCCACUCAUUGGCCCUUUCUACAGCAUCAUUGGAAGCCAAUUCCAUUGAUUUUGAAAAUAGAUGACUCUCUCCAUUAAAGGCUAUAAUUGUAAACAAAUCAUCGGGAUUAAGCUUAGCGAGAGCAGACAGUAAUGCAUUCUUUGUGUCAUCCAUUAGCUUUCCCUGCAUGCUUCCACUGAUGUCUAUGAUGAAUAUUAUCUCCUUUUUGAAUAUCUAAACAUCACGAACAAGAAGGAUUAGAAGUGAGAAUAGAAAAAACAAUUUCAAACACACACUCAAAGUUUACUAUUAGUGUACAAACCUUCUUAUGCUGAAUAUCUCCAGGAGAAAGAUAUAUGUAGAACAUCUCUCUUUGAUCGAAAUCAUGCACAGAUGCAGAUUCCAAGAGAACGCCACCAUUUAUACGACUUGACGACACCUAAAUACAGAUAACAAUGUAACAUGCUAAUAAUUAAUAAGAUACUCUUUCAAUCAUUUGCGAAGCUACAAAGAAAAGCAUAAAAUAAAAUGACCAGGAGUCUUACUGCAUAAGAAAAGCUAAAAUCAUCUUUUGACCAUGAGAGAACAUCGUUAUCACAUAAGAAACCUAUACUCCCAGCUUGACGCCUCACUUCCUGUACAGUCAGAAUAAAAUGGUCAAUAGGUUAUAUACUAUAUAUCUUCUGUGAAAUUUCAACAAUGGUCCAGUGUUGUUAAAUAGCGGCUCUAUAACGUGACACAUUUUGAAAAUAACCGCUAUUUUAGUACAAAAUGUUGUCAAAUAAUGAAUUUAUCUAUCAGUUUACACAGUGGAAAUUAUUUUCUGCAAUCCGUGAUUAACAACACCGCAGUGGUGCCAUAUGUGAAAAUCCAACCAAAUAAGAACCUGUAGAGGAUGGCUUGUUGUUUUGAACAGAAGCUCACUUCCAGCAACAACAUCAACAUUCAGUCGUAUCUUUUCUCUUUUAGCCAUUCUCUUCCCAGCAGGGUUUAUAAAUUCAGGAAAGGUAAACGGCACAUUCAAAGAGUACUCGCCAUUGGAGCAUACUACUUUCUGAGACCAAUUAAUUUUAAUCGAUAAAUUUGAACCCCCAUCAAUCUGUCACAAACAUCAUAAACAUAUUAAGACAACUCACUAAAUUAAACAAAAAUAGAAAUCAACAUCACUUAAACACUUGAGCUAAAUAUUCACCUCUGGUAUAGUUAACAUAAAUAUAUUUGAUUUAAGAAAUCCUCCAUUUUGAGCUUGUGUAGCACUUUGAUUUUCAUCCAUAACUACCAGUUGAGUAGAAUAAGAUUUUCUCAUAGCAUUAACCUCAACACCUAGAAUUGAACCCUGUUAGCAAAAUCAUAUGAAAAAUAAAUAAAUUAGUUCAUCAUAUUCUAAACUUCAAUGCAACUUCAAUGCAUAAAUUAAGUUNNNNNNNNNNNNNNNNNNNNNNNNNNNNNNNNACCGUUAGAGUAAAAAGCUAUUAACUACUAGUAGUAUAAUAGUAUGAAUAAAAAAUUGAGAAUAAAGAAAACUUCAAACGGACACAAAAAAACAGAUAAAGCUGCAAAAAUAAAAAAAAGUAGUACCUCGUGGCCGAUUGGAAUGGCGAGACGGCAAUCACAGGAGCUGCUACCGGUAAUGCAAUGGAGUCUCCAAGUACCGGAGACGGUGAUAAUAGCAGUAUCAAGAUAACAAUCAAUUUCCAUUUCAAUUGCGUUCAUCUGAAGCGGAAUAAGUGCCGGAGGAUCACAGCGUCCAUAGACGUGUGGUUGGUAGCUAGCGAUAUCUGGAUUAUCUACGAUCGCUGGAUCGGAGAUAACUGCAUAAACCAUUGGUGCUUUAGGAAGAAGUGCGUUUGUUGACCUUUCCAUUAAGGUUGGUAGCUUCGGCGGCGCAACGGCUCUGUCUUUCCCGAAGUAUAUGCGUUUAGAGAGCUUCAUUCCGUCGUCGACGGCUCUACAGAAUUCGUCCGCCAUUAGAGAGAGUGAAAAAGCUUAGAAGAAGAAAGAAAACCCUUUGAAGAAGAAGAAUAAUAAUUGAAAAAAUGAAUAAAUAAAUUAGUAAAAGAAAAGAAUUAAGAAAUGGUUUGUGAUUAAGGGAAGGUGAGAGUGUAUUUGUGUGUGUGUGUGGGUCCUUCUUAAAGUGUAAGCAUUUGGUUUUCCGUUAUAAGCCACGUGCGACCAUUUGCGUCGUGACACGUGUGUUUUUCCACCGUCGGCAAAUGGAAUGCGGAAUUGGAUUUCUUAUUGCGUGGACCCAAAUUCGGUUGAUCCGCGUUUUAGAUUUGAUUAAUUAUGUAUGUAUGAUUAAUAACUUGAUUUUUUCCCUUAAAUAAUGUUUGAUGAAAUGUUAUAGCUUGUUUGGACUUUGGAGUAUGUGUCAUAAUAGUCUAGUAUUAAACUUUGCAUCUAAAAUGAAAAAAAAUUAAAAGUUAUUACAAGUUUAACUUUAGAUACUCUACUUGGUAUUUAUUUAUUUAAUAAUUAAUGUGAGCUGAAUUUGGUAGGGAGGAUUACAGUUCGAUUCCCUGUAAAAUGCGAUUGUCAGGAGGCUGAAUCCCGUUAAUGCUAGAACUAAUUCUCAAAUUAGAUUAGACAGUCCAGUCGUCUGAAUACUGGUGGUCUGAAAACCAAAAAAAAAAAAACUCAAUUAAUCUUUGAGACACAACUUUCAAUAUUAACGUAUAGGGAGUCUCGUUUAGAAUUUUCUUUUAUACUCCCUCCGGUCACUAUUGUAAAUAAAUUUAUUGUUUUUAGCUCAUUAGAAUAGUGAUGUAUUUAUUAUUAAUAUAUUAAAAUCGAUUACUAUCAAAGUUAUUAAUUUAUCUUUAUUACUUUUAACCACGUUACAAGUUUUAUAUCCUUCAUUGUAAUUUCACUAAAGGAAUAUAUAUAUAUAUAUAUAUAUAUAUAUAAACAAUAUAAGAUAAAUACAAAAAAUAAUAAAAUAUAGACAUAAUAAGAUGAGGAAAAAAUAUUAUAUAUGAAUUUAUGCAUAAAAAUAGAAAGAAAAAAAAACAAUAAAAAUAAAUUAUGGACAGAAUAUAGAAAAAAUAAGUGUAUACAAAAAAAUAGAAACAUUAUACAUUAUCAAAAAAGAAACAUAAACAAUACCUAUAUUAAAAAAAAAGAAACAUAAACAAUAUUUUUGAUCAAAAAUAAAAUAAAUAAUAUAACUACCAUGUUUACUACCAACUAUUACUAAUAAUUAGUCAAAAAAAACUAUUACUAAUAAUAAUAAAAUAAAGUUAAUUACUAUCAAAUUUACUAAAUUACCCUAUAUAUUCCUAAUAAAAUUUUGAAUUUUCGAUUAAAAAAUAUAUACAGGACCAUUAUUUGUCACUGAAACAUAAAAUAUUGGAUAAAUAAGCUUUACAAAAAAUAACACAAUAGUUUCACUUAUAUUUAACAAUAUUUUAUAACAAAUUUAAAUAUUUUAUUCUAAAUAAACUUUCUACAUUAAAAUAAUAAUAAACUUAAAUAUCGAAUUAAAGUCAAUGGACUCGUGCAUCGCACGGGUCUUUAAACUAGUUUAGUUUAUAAUAUGAACGACAUAUAUUACUCUUCCAAUGUACUGAAAAAGUUAAAUUUACUAAUAAUAGUGACUCAAAAAAAUCUAUACUAACACAAUGUAAAAAUGACAUUAAAAAAAUUAUACUUUAGGCAUUUAAGAAAACACACUUCAAAUGUCCCAAAAUUUUUUAAUCCAAAAAUAUAUUUCGCAUGUAACCGUAUAAAUUAAUCCAUUUAAAGGAAUAACUUCUUCCAAUAAUUUUUUCUCAUAUGCAUCGGUUAAAGAAUAAACUCAGGAUUUAUGACUUAUGUUAUGUACUCCUAAGUCACAAAUUUCUACAAUCGUUAAGUUUCUUCCACUAGGAGCCAAAUUAUGUUGGUAAAUGGUAAUCCUCUAAUAUCCCUACUGACAAUAAUAAUAAUGACAAAAAUGGGUUCAAAAUAAAUGGAGAACCUGACUAGAGACGAGAUGAAUAGAAACAACAUCCAUUCAUUAUUAAUGUGAAUAAGAUGGAGGUCCAUGUCAGCAUUCAUUGAUAAAAUGCAACUGAGCUGUCAUCACCCUCCAACUUGACCGUUGGAAUAGCUAUAAAUUGACAUAUGCUUUUCUGACUUGUAGGCCGUUAUCAACCUACGAGCCAUUCGUAUGAUUUCCAACGUAUUUUAGCUUCAUCUACUUGCAAUAAGCAAGGAAGGCUUUCAAUUUUAACCUCAACCGAAUUUCAACCAGCAUUUUAACACUAUUUGUUAUUUUACAUGUUCAUUCAGUUGUACCACAAUAUCUAGUUUUUAAAACAUCUUGAAAAAUACUCUAAUUGGCAUGGUUUGAGAUUAGGUGUUUGUGUAAAAAAAAAUUUACAAAGUAUGGUCAAAGUAUUAGAGAUGUUAGCAAAUAUUUUGUAAAAAAAUUACGCAAUAUUGUCGAUGUUUAAAUCAAAUAAUGCUCAAAUUAAAUUAUGUAAAUAGUGUACAAGAUAAAAUGUGACACUUAAAAAAAUAAUAGAGACAGUAUAUCGUGUAUACAAAUCACAUCCACAAAAGGUUAAACUAUCCGGGUUUAAUUGAAAAUAUAACGAAAUUAUAAGGAUAUCUAUCUAUACUAUAUAUAUAUAUAUAUAUANNNNNNNNNNNNNNNNNNNNNNNNNNNNNNNNNNNNNNNNNNNNNNNNNAAUACCCUUGAUUUUUUACUAACAAACUCACCAUAACAUAAAACACUUUUUUUUUUGUAGUAGAAAAAAAUCUUUUAUUAACAAACUCACCAUAACAUAAGUCAUAUUUUUUUUUUUGACAUAAGUUAGACACAUCGCCUGCCUAGCCUGCAAGUAUCUAUAAAGAUUAUACAAAAUUUUUUGGUGUGGACUUUUCAUAAUACCAACGAUACCCUUAAUUUUUUUUAGCAGAAAAAAUAUUUUGUUAGUAGCAAAAAUCUUUUAUUAACAACCUCACCAUAACAUAAGACAUGUUUUUUUAGCAGCAAAAAUCUUUUACUAACAACUCACCAUAAAGCAUGCCUUUUUAUUAACCUUUUUUGACAUAAAUUUACAUAAUAGACGCGCGCUCUUUCUGAGCGCUAGUAAGAGGAUAACAUCAAUGCAUUGAAUGCAUUUUUCAAUAGAAAAAAAAAAAAUUCUAUAUUUGACCGUUUACAAGAGAGAUCCAACUCCAAGUGUCUAUUGCUUAAAGCAUUUCAAAGGAGGUGUGUUAUAUAAACACAACAAAGUUGGACAAAAAUACAACAUCAUCUUUUCUCCACUCACAACACGAAUAUCGAGACGUGCAACAAAUAUUAAAAAAAACAAAAAAUAUAGUUUUGUUGUAUUUUUGUUAAAAAAUUAUGUUUAAAUAACAUUUUCCUUUCAGAAUUCUCAAUUCUGAUCUAAUAAUACGACCAACAUGAGCAAACAAAGUACGUACUACUCCGUCCCAAAAUAUAAGCAAAAGGAGGUCAACAAAAGUGAAUGUAUCUAGACUAUAUUUUAAACAAAAUACAUCAACUUUCAUUGACUAAUUUUUGCUUAUAUUUUGGGACGGAGGGAGUAUAAUAGUAUAAAUUUUUUGACAGCAAAACAUUAUUAUUAAUAUUAUCAGCGAACGCAUAAGUGGAUAGACGACGAGCUCAUAAACAAGUGAAAUAACUAUUGCAGCAAACAAAGAGACCUCACUCACUAAUAAUAUUAUCGAUGAUGAACUGUAUAAGAUAAUAAUAUUGAACAUAACAUGUAUGUAUCCAGGGUAUGCUGUGGCUUUUCUACAACGUAUAAUAAAAUAUGGGACUAAGAAAGAGCAUUGUACCCAAAAAAAUCUGAGACUAAGAACACUAUUCAUUUCCAAUCCCCCUUCCCCGUAAGAGAAAAUAUAUUUAAAAGGAGAGAGAGCACUGGGAUCUUGUCCUAUUGAUUUUAAACCUCAACAAGGCUAAGAACUCACUUUAGUAACAAUCUUCCACGCUCCUCUACUCCAGCAUUGACUAUGAACCUUACUUCUCUGCUGAGGACACACAAAUGACCAUAUACAGAAAGUAACUAAUUUACACAUCAAAUAAGUUUUAUAUUAAACACCUCAAAAUUUUGCUUAGCGUGGAAUUUUUAAGGCAGGGCGAUAUAACUAGUCUGUGCAUGCUAUAUCUUCCGAUGUCUCACCAAACCAGCAUGAUAGUUUAGACUCAGGACAUAGUAUAGCUUAACCCCAUGACUGCAUCCUCCCCAAAACUAAGGUUUUAAAAGUGAGUGAUCUUUUCCUAGCCAAGGAACGGCUUUCACCCUUUCAAGGCCAACCAAAUACUCUCCUAAAACCAUGAUGUGCAAACUAGAUUUGAGCAAAGAGCAUUUCAUUCCAUGUAUCAGGAACACCUGGCAAACACCAGUGUAAGCAAUCCUGCACACCAGGCUUUGCUGUUAAGCNNACUUGAUCACUGGACUCCUCUUCAAGUAAUUCUUUUCCCACUGACAUUGGUUUAGUGUUGUCACAGCUGCCUCCUGUGUUCCAUUCCCCACCAAAAAAAUGCCUAGGAGAAAGGGUACGAAAAAAUGCCUUCAAACCUGGAUAUUUUGGAAGCUGUGUAUCCACCCAACUAACAACGCUGCGAAUUGUAAGAUUCUUGGCAGCCCAAAUCACGGCUAACUUCCUAUCAGUAUUUGGCACACCACCAACAUGCAUUACCCAUCGAUUGCCAUUGAGCUUUCCUCGAUUCCAGUGAUGACCAGUGUUGAGAACCAAGACAUCAAAUUUGUGUAUAAACUGACGCAGGAAUGCUGGGGGCCGAUCAAGGUGCAUUGCAUAAUCCGUGUUUGGGUUUUUUACAUCAAUAGGUUCAACAUCACAUAAGCUUGCCGACCAGUAAUACAAAAUGGUAGUCUUAGUGCUUGAAAAACGGUAUGCCCACCCAUUAGGACGGGCAGACCCAUCAGCUACAACCAAUCCAUAUUCCUUACCCACAUCUUCAACAUCAUUUGUCUCCUUACCGCCAGUUACCAUGCACAUUAAAGACUGGAACUGCUGCCGGCCUAAUGAGUCUCCCACAAAAGCUAGAGUUUUAUUUUGCAUCCUGAAUACACAAAGAUUAACAAUUAGCAAGUAUUAUACAUUUAUAGCUUUUUUGCAGUUGAAACAAAAAAUGUGGACUAAUAAAAAUGUAGCCAGGAUAGUUGGAGCAUUUAUCUAAAUCAGAGGAAGUUCAUAAAAGCAAAGGCAGCAGUCAUACAACAAGAACAAAAAUAGACUGAAUUGAGUAACAUGACACUAUCAUGCUAACACAAGCCCCAAAGCUUACCAACCCUCUAUCAAGUAAAUCGAGGAGCAUCUCAUGCAUCUGUCAACUCAAAUGAGCUUAUGGGCUAAAGGAAUUAAAAAAAUCACAAUGUUCAGCAUAAAAUUAAUGAAAUGUUCCGAAGGACAAUACAUGAGUGCAAUCUAUAUGCAUGGAUCAAGAGAACAAAGUACCUUCUCAAGAAUUUAGAACCUUCAAACUCCUCCAUUUGACAAUCUUUUGGUUGCCAUCUAAGAUUCUCGUAUGUGAAAUCAGUACGUUGCAUCAUGCGGCAAGCCCACAUUGCAGAGAGCCACUGUUUGCAACGAAAACCUGAAUACAAAGGCCGUUUGUUGUCUGGAACCCAUUUUCCUUUUGCGUAGUUACAGUCUGGAGAAAGAGUAAAUACGAGAAUAUUCAUUUGUUAGCAACACUCGCAGAUAUACUGUUGGUUAGUCUAACUUUAUGGGGAUUAUAAAAGGUUUCAAGAUGUCUUGAGAAAUUAAAAAGAUAAAUAGUUUCCUACAAAAAAUUAGGAGAUGCACUUCACUUGAAAGGUCAUCAUUAGAAAAUAAGUCGAAGAACAUUUAUCAAAUUUUCGUUGACCUAUUAUGUUCAAACUUUCUUUAGAAACAAUGGGAAAAAUUGGUUCCUUGUAAAAAAUCAGAGAUAUUCUUUGAAAAGCAGCUCAAUUCUAUGUUGAAAAGCAUGCAUGAUGCAUCCACAUCUUUUCAACUCAUCCAAAAGAUAGUAAACGUUUCAAUAGAGUUUCACUGGUGAUAAGCAAAGAGACUAGUACCUUUGUUUUCUGUAUCAUUAUUCCAACUUUCUUUUCUGACAGGUAAAGAGGUUUUUUGUGGAAUGUUGAUGACAAGAUCUAUUUUAGGUUCUUCUUGUUUGGAAUUUUUCUCAACCUUAUCUUCAUUACUUUUAACCUCAGAUGUUGUUAGGCUGAAAGGAGUUUGUACACCAUGGCUUUUCUCAACUUCCAAAUCUCUUUCGUGUUUAGUUUCUUCACCGGACACACGUGACAUGGUUUCUACACCAUCACAAUAAAAUAAAUUUUUAUCCCCAAGAAGGUAACUUGCAAAUGAGAUUAACAAAAAGAAAAGGAAAACCACAUGGUAAGAGCUUAUGGCUAAAAGGUCCUGGAAUAUAAUAUAUUUUAGAAGUUAUAAUCAGGGACGGAACUAGGUAGCGAAGAAAAGGGGCAGCCGCCACCCCAUCAUACAUAUAGUAGUAGUAUAAUAUCCUAUGUAACAUAUAUAUUGCCACCCCUGAUAUUAAAAAAAAAUUAGUAGUCUGCCACCCUUAUUUUUGUUCCACUCAAUCUUUCAUAAAGAUAUGCUAGUAUACUUAUAAAAUAAUAAUAUUUGUUAACUAUUUUAAUUUAAGUCCCGUGAGCUUAGCUCAGUUGGCAGAACAUUGCUUAUAUAUGCAGGAGGGUGGGGUUCAAAUUCCAGUCAUCCCACCUAACUAUUUUAAUUUAUGUCAUUUUAUGAUUACAAAAGCUAAAUUUACCAAAAACUUUAAUUUCAUUCUACUAGGUUUUCUAAGCAUGGUUAUUUUAAUAUGUUAUAAUCUAAGAAAAACAUGGACGCUCUUUAGAUCAGACGUGUCCUGGUGUCCGACACCGACACAACAUUGACACUUAUGAUUACAUUGUAUUAUUUUAUUUAGUCAAAUUAUUUUCUGUGUCGAUAUGUCAGUGUCCGUGUCUGGUCCGAUAUCCGUAUUGUUUUAUUGGUUAUAAUAUAUAGCUCUACUUUAUAAAAAAGAUUCUUAAAUAGUAUUGUGUUUGAAAAUAUUAAAUAGAAGAAGUUAGUUAAGGUUGAUGUUAUUUAUCAAGUGUUAUAUUUCCGCCACCCUCGAUGAUUUUUUCUGGUUCCGUCCCUGGUUAUAAUCAAGCCUUAUCCCACUAAAUAGCUGGUGUAGAACCAAGCCUUGCCUACAUCUAGCAUUAUUUUUAAUUUNNNNNNNNNNNNUCAACAGAAUGGUAGCUGGCACACAGUACUCCGAUCACUAUAGUAACAAACAGUAUCGGCCAACAAAUGCGGCACCAUAUACAGAGGUCAAAAUGUCCUUGUCGGAAACAGAAUAUGGUACUACAUCAUGAAGCAUUGCAAACAGCUGAGAGAAACAUAGAGGAAUAAAGAAAGCAACAUCUUACUUACGUUCUGUAUGUGAAGUAGUUCUGGUAUUACUUUCACCCAUACUUUUUUCAGAAGAGCUAUGUGCAGAAAUNNNNNNNNNNNNNNNNNNNNNNNNNNNNNNNNNNAUCAAGAUCUUGUUUAUCUAGCUCAUCGGUGGUCUUUUUGUUUGACAUCAAUGAGUCGUGCUCCGCCACAUGUAUGUGUGUAUCUGGUGCAUUCACCGAAGAACUGCUAUCUGCAGAAAUUGUCUGAGAUGCUAAAUCAAGAUCUUGUUCUUCUAGCUCAUCAGUGGUCUUUUUAUUUGGCGUCAAUGAGUCGUGUUCUGCCACAUGUAUGAGUGUAUCUGGUUCAUUCCCUGAAGAACUGCUAUCUAAAUGAUUUGCAAACAUGUGAACAUGGUGUAGAAAGGACUGAGAAUAAUGCAAAGCACUUUAAAUCUUGGUUGCAAGAAGAUAAGUCAAUAAUUUAGGAUAAUUAUAACUGUUGAUUGUAAUUGUCAUUCUCUUAGAAGUGCCGUUGCCAGAGAAUUAAUUACACACCCACGUGCAAGUGUUCAGCACGAGUUCUUUGGAUACAUGCAAACUACUCGCCACCGUCCAGUUGUCAUUGUCUUCCCUGACGGUCUAAUUUGGCUCUUCAUCACCUUCUCAUUCUGCUCUGCACCAAUUUUACCACAUUCGUUUCUUGUGAUUCGCAGGUUUGGUUUUCCCCAGAUUUUGUGUUUUUAGGGCUUCUAUUUUAU
Molecule: long non-coding RNA, 27323 nt
Filed under: Trifolium pratense (red clover)
Lineage: Eukaryota; Viridiplantae; Streptophyta; Magnoliopsida; Fabales; Fabaceae
Description: long non-coding RNA (TPRA_LNC001042)
Source: RNAcentral